This 844-nucleotide ribosomal RNA is filed under the name Bacillus sp. (in: firmicutes). RNAcentral describes it as "bacterial SSU rRNA". It matches the Rfam family "Bacterial small subunit ribosomal RNA", at positions 52 to 879 of the family's 1533-position model. The record is from RNAcentral. Lineage: Bacteria; Bacillati; Bacillota; Bacilli; Caryophanales; Bacillaceae.
UGUAGCAAGUCGAGCGGACAGAAGGGAGCUUGCUCCCGGAUGUUAGCGGCGGACGGGUGAGUAACACGUGGGUAACCUGCCUGUAAGACUGGGAUAACUCCGGGAAACCGGAGCUAAUACCGGAUAGUUCCUUGAACCGCAUGGUUCAAGGAUGAAAGACGGUUUCGGCUGUCACUUACAGAUGGACCCGCGGCGCAUUAGCUAGUUGGUGGGGUAAUGGCUCACCAAGGCGACGAUGCGUAGCCGACCUGAGAGGGUGAUCGGCCACACUGGGACUGAGACACGGCCCAGACUCCUACGGGAGGCAGCAGUAGGGAAUCUUCCGCAAUGGACGAAAGUCUGACGGAGCAACGCCGCGUGAGUGAUGAAGGUUUUCGGAUCGUAAAGCUCUGUUGUUAGGGAAGAACAAGUGCGAGAGUAACUGCUCGCACCUUGACGGUACCUAACCAGAAAGCCACGGCUAACUACGUGCCAGCAGCCGCGGUAAUACGUAGGUGGCAAGCGUUGUCCGGAAUUAUUGGGCGUAAAGGGCUCGCAGGCGGUUUCUUAAGUCUGAUGUGAAAGCCCCCGGCUCAACCGGGGAGGGUCAUUGGAAACUGGGAAACUUGAGUGCAGAAGAGGAGAGUGGAAUUCCACGUGUAGCGGUGAAAUGCGUAGAGAUGUGGAGGAACACCAGUGGCGAAGGCGACUCUCUGGUCUGUAACUGACGCUGAGGAGCGAAAGCGUGGGGAGCGAACAGGAUUAGAUACCCUGGUAGUCCACGCCGUAAACGAUGAGUGCUAAGUGUUAGGGGGUUUCCGCCCCUUAGUGCUGCAGCUAACGCAUUAAGCACUCCGCCUGGGGA